CAACAUUGGUGUCGGCUUCCCGGUGAUCAUCAAGGCUGGGGGCCCGUGCCGAAGCUCUUUCAUUGCACUUCGGAAGGCUGGAGCAUGUCACUACCUGUUAACCGGGGCAGAUGAAGCACGCGUAAUUUUUUGUAGUGGGGCUGGUCGUACGCUCCAGCCCUU
This is a small nuclear RNA of Rhipicephalus microplus (southern cattle tick), 162 nucleotides long. NCBI's taxonomy places the organism in Eukaryota, Metazoa, Arthropoda, Arachnida, Ixodida, Ixodidae. The record is from RefSeq and is a predicted model, not a curated record.